GCUUUGGUGGCCAAGUGGUAAGGCGUCGCACUUGGUUAGUAGUCCCUGAUCCACCAUCACUCCACGAAGCCUUAUUCUAACAUCCUAAAAGUAAUGCGAAGACCGUGGGUUCGAAUCCCAUCCGAAGCA
Molecule: transfer RNA, 129 nt
Filed under: Cordyceps fumosorosea ARSEF 2679
Lineage: Eukaryota; Fungi; Ascomycota; Sordariomycetes; Hypocreales; Cordycipitaceae
Description: Isaria fumosorosea ARSEF 2679 tRNA
Rfam family: tRNA
About the family: Transfer RNA (tRNA) molecules are approximately 80 nucleotides in length.
Source: Rfam by way of RNAcentral